AGUCGAGCGGCAGCGGGAAAGUAGCUUGCUACUUUUGCCGGCGAGCGGCGGACGGGUGAGUAAUGCCUGGGGAUCUGCCCAGUCGAGGGGGAUAACAGUUGGAAACGACUGCUAAUACCGCAUACGCCCUACGGGGGAAAGGAGGGGACCUUCGGGCCUUUCGCGAUUGGAUGAACCCAGGUGGGAUUAGCUAGUUGGUGGGGUAAUGGCUCACCAAGGCGACGAUCCCUAGCUGGUCUGAGAGGAUGAUCAGCCACACUGGARCUGAGACACGGUCCAGACUCCUACGGGAGGCAGCAGUGGGGAAUAUUGCACAAUGGGGGAAACCCUGAUGCAGCCAUGCCGCGUGUGUGAAGAAGGCCUUCGGGUUGUAAAGCACUUUCAGCGAGGAGGAAAGGUUGGCGCCUAAUACGUGUCAACUGUGACGUUACUCGCAGAAGAAGCACCGGCUAACUCCGUGCCAGCAGCCGCGGUAAUACGGAGGGUGCAAGCGUUAAUCGGAAUUACUGGGCGUAAAGCGCACGCAGGCGGUUGGAUAAGUUAGAUGUGAAAGCCCCGGGCUCA
This 564-nucleotide ribosomal RNA is filed under the name [Haemophilus] piscium. RNAcentral's name for it is "bacterial SSU rRNA". The record is from RNAcentral. Lineage: Bacteria; Pseudomonadati; Pseudomonadota; Gammaproteobacteria; Aeromonadales; Aeromonadaceae.